RNAcentral lists this ribosomal RNA (617 nucleotides) under Xylona heveae. RNAcentral's name for it is "SSU rRNA". It matches the Rfam family "Bacterial small subunit ribosomal RNA", at positions 453 to 1127 of the family's 1533-position model. The record is from RNAcentral. Lineage: Eukaryota; Fungi; Ascomycota; Xylonomycetes; Xylonales; Xylonaceae.
CUAGAUAGAAUACUGAUAAUGACAAUUUUCUAUCUAUAUGUCUUGACCAAAUCACGUGCCAGCAGUCGCGGUAAUACGUGAAAGACUAGUGUUAUUCAUCUUUAAUAGGUUUAAAGGGUACCUAGGCGGUAUUUUUCACCUGAGUAAGGUAUAUAAAUACUAGAGUUUAAUGUGGGAAGAUGUUGUAGUACUCAUGGUGUAGAGAUAAAAUGUAAUAAUACCAUGAGAAAACUGGUACGCGAAAGCAACCUUCUAUGUAUAAACUGACGCUGAGGGACGAAGGCUUGGGUAGCGAAUAGGAUUAGAUACCCUAGUAGUCCAAGCAGAAAAUUAUGAAUGCCAUAGAUUAGAUUAGAUUUAGUCUAUAAAUGAAAGUGUAAGCAUUCCACCUCAAGAGUAAUGCGGCAACGCAGGAACUGAAAUCAUUAGACCGUUUCUGAGACCAGUAGUGAAGUAUGUUAUUUAAUUCGAUGAUCCGCGAAAAACCUUACCACAACUUGAAUAUUAAUUUUUUUAAAUUAUUACAAGCGUUGCACGGCUGUCUUCAGUUAAUGUCGUGAGAUUUUGGUUAGCUCCAUUUAAUUAACGAAAACCCUUGCUUUAUUUAUUUUUUAACU